RNAcentral lists this ribosomal RNA (264 nucleotides) under uncultured bacterium. RNAcentral's name for it is "partial 16S ribosomal RNA". It matches the Rfam family "Bacterial small subunit ribosomal RNA", at positions 793 to 1055 of the family's 1533-position model. The record is from RNAcentral.
CUCCACGCCGUAAACGAUGGGUGCUAGGUGUGGGAGGUGUCGACUCCUUCCGUGCCGCAGCUAACGCAUUAAGCACCCCGCCUGGGGAGUACGGCCGCAAGGCUAAAACUCAAAGGAAUUGACGGGGGCCCCGCACAAGCAGCGGAGCAUGUGGUUUAAUUCGAUGCAACGCGAAGAACCUUACCAGGGCUUGACAUGCACUGGAAAUCCGUAGAAAUACGGCCCUCCUUCGGGACCAGUGCACAGGUGGUGCAUGGCUGUCGU